GGGUCUACCCAUUGGUCAGGCUUAAUUGUCUGUACUGGUGAGAUGGAUCUCUACCUUCUGAGGAACUUUCAUGCCAUUUAUUUGGUGUGAUGGGAAAUCAGGACUGUUACUUUGAAAAAAUUAGAGUGUUUAAAGCAGACUAUCGUCUGAAUACAUUAGCAUGGAAUAAUGAAAUAGGACGGACUGAUUCUAUUUCGUUGGUUUCUAGGAUCACCGUA
Molecule: ribosomal RNA, 218 nt
Filed under: Diversispora sp.
Lineage: Eukaryota; Fungi; Glomeromycota; Glomeromycetes; Diversisporales; Diversisporaceae
Description: partial small subunit ribosomal RNA
Rfam family: Eukaryotic small subunit ribosomal RNA (bases 47-218)
Source: RNAcentral